Molecule: ribosomal RNA, 713 nt
Filed under: Halomonas elongata
Lineage: Bacteria; Pseudomonadati; Pseudomonadota; Gammaproteobacteria; Oceanospirillales; Halomonadaceae
Description: bacterial SSU rRNA
Rfam family: Bacterial small subunit ribosomal RNA
Source: RNAcentral
CCGAAGAUGUCGACUAGCGUUGGGGUCCUCGAGACCUUUGUGGCGCAGUUAACGCACUAAGUCGACCGCCUGGGGAGUACGGCCGCAAGGUUAAAACUCAAAUGAAUUGACGGGGGCCCGCACAAGCGGUGGAGCAUGUGGUUUAAUUCGAUGCAACGCGAAGAACCUUACCUACCCUUGACAUCGUGCGAACUUUCCAGAGAUGGAUUGGUGCCUUCGGGAGCGCACAGACAGGUGCUGCAUGGCUGUCGUCAGCUCGUGUUGUGAAAUGUUGGGUUAAGUCCCGUAACGAGCGCAACCCUUGUCCCUAUUUGCCAGCGAUUCGGUCGGGAACUCUAGGGAGACUGCCGGUGACAAACCGGAGGAAGGUGGGGACGACGUCAAGUCAUCAUGGCCCUUACGGGUAGGGCUACACACGUGCUACAAUGGCCGGUACAAUGGGUUGCAAAGCGGCGACGUGGAGCUAAUCUCAUAAAGCCGGUCUCAGUCCGGAUCGGAGUCUGCAACUCGACUCCGUGAAGUCGGAAUCGCUAGUAAUCGUGCAUCAGAAUGGCACGGUGAAUACGUUCCCGGGCCUUGUACACACCGCCCGUCACACCAUGGGAGUGGACUGCACCAGAAGUGGUUAGCCUAACUUCGGAGGGCGAUCACCACGGUGUGGUUCAUGACUGGGGUGAAGUCUACAAAGGGGAACCCAAAAAAUUUUAAUAAUG